RNAcentral lists this ribosomal RNA (254 nucleotides) under uncultured bacterium. RNAcentral's name for it is "partial 16S ribosomal RNA". It matches the Rfam family "Bacterial small subunit ribosomal RNA", at positions 524 to 776 of the family's 1533-position model. The record is from RNAcentral.
UACGGGGGGAGCAAGCGUUGUUCGGAUUUACUGGGCGUAAAGGGCGCGUAGGCGGCCUCUGCAAGUCGACUGUGAAAUCUCCGGGCUUAACCCGGAAAGGGCAGCCGAUACUGCAGGGCUAGAGUGCAGAAGGGGCAACUGGAAUUCUCGGUGUAGCGGUGAAAUGCGUAGAUAUCGAGAGGAACACCUGCGGCGAAGGCGGGUUGCUGGGCUGACACUGACGCUGAGGCGCGACAGCGUGGGGAGCAAACAGG